This 76-nucleotide transfer RNA is filed under the name Fusobacterium simiae. RNAcentral describes it as "tRNA-Lys". It matches the Rfam family "tRNA". From Rfam's summary of the family: Transfer RNA (tRNA) molecules are approximately 80 nucleotides in length. Their secondary structure includes four short double-helical elements and three loops (D, anti-codon, and T loops). RNAcentral also lists the same sequence under 51 other names. The record is from RNAcentral. Lineage: Bacteria; Fusobacteriati; Fusobacteriota; Fusobacteriia; Fusobacteriales; Fusobacteriaceae.
GCGUCAUUAGCUCAGUUGGUAGAGCAUCUGACUCUUAAUCAGGAGGUCACAGGUUCGACCCCUGUAUGACGCACCA